UCUAGUAUAAGCAAUUAUACAGCGAAACUGCGAAUGGCUCAUUAUAUAAGUUAUCGUUUAUUUGAUAGUGCCUUACUACUUGGAUAACCGUGGUAAUUCUAGAGCUAAUACAUGCUGAAAGCCCCGACUCACGGAGGGGCGUAUUUAUUAGAUUAAAAACCAAUGCCCUUCGGGGCUCCUUGGUGAUUCAUGAUAACUUCUCGAAUCGCACGGCCUUGCGCCGGCGAUGGUUCAUUCAAAUUUCUUCCCUAUCAACUUUCGAUGUUUGGGUAGUGGCCAAACAUGGUGGCAACGGGUAACGGAGGGUUAGGGCUCGACCCCGGAGAAGGAGCCUGAGAAACGGCUCCUACAUCCAAGGAAGGCAGCAGGCGCGCAAAUUACCCAAUCCCGACUCGGGGAGGUAGUGACAAUAAAUACUGAUGCAGGGCUCUUUAGGGUCUUGCAAUUGGAAUGAGUACAAUUUAAAUCCCUUAACGAGGAACAAUUGGAGGGCAAGUCUGGUGCCAGCAGCCGCGGUAACUCCAGCUCCAAUAGCGUAUAUUAAAGUUGUUGUGGUUAAAAAGCUCGUAGUUGAACCUUGGGCCUGGCCGUCCGGUCCGCCUCACCGCGUGCACUGGCACGGCCGGGCCUUCCCACCGCGGAAUCGCAUGCCCUUUACUGGGCGUGUCGGGGAAGCGGUACUUUUACUGUGAAAAAAUUAGAGUGCUCUAAGCAGGCCUAUGCUCGAAUACAUUAGCAUGGAAUAAUAGAAUAGGACAGGCGUUCUAUUUUGUUGGUUUCUAGGACGUCUGUAAUGAUUAACAGAAACAAUCGGGGGCGUCAGUAUUGCAUCGUCAGAGGUGAAAUUCUUAGAUCGACGCAAGACUAACUACUGCGAAAGCAUUCGCCAAGGGUGUUUUCAUUAAUCAGGAACGAAAGUUAGGGGAUCGAAGACGAUCAGAUACCGUCGUAGUCUUAACCAUAAACUAUGCCGACUAGGGAUCGGGCGGUGUUAAUUUUUGACCCGCUCGGCACCUUACGAGAAAUCUUAAGUGCUUGGCUCCAGGGAG
This 1049-nucleotide ribosomal RNA is filed under the name Microthecium fimicola. Its description in RNAcentral is "SSU rRNA". It matches the Rfam family "Eukaryotic small subunit ribosomal RNA", at positions 59 to 1121 of the family's 1831-position model. Lineage: Eukaryota; Fungi; Ascomycota; Sordariomycetes; Coronophorales; Ceratostomataceae. The record is from RNAcentral.